This 78-nucleotide transfer RNA is filed under the name compost metagenome. RNAcentral describes it as "tRNA-Ala". The record is from RNAcentral.
GCGACGGCGAGGCGCCGGACAGUGCCCGCGGCUUCGCGCGCCGGGUGCUCGGCGGCGAGUUCGAUCUCGGCCAUCUCG